UACAGAGGUCUCAAGCGUUGUUCGGAUUCAUUGGGCGUAAAGGGUGCGUAGGUGGCGCCGUAAGUCGGAUGUGAAAUCCUGAGGCUUAACCUCGGAACUGCAUUCGAUACUGCGGUGCUUGAGGACUGGAGAGGAGACUGGAGUUCAUGGUGUAGCAGUGAAAUGCGUAGAGAUCAUGAGGAAGACCAGUGGCGAAGGCGGGUCUCUGGACAGUUCCUGACACUGAGGCACGAAGGCCAGGGGAGCAAACGGG
This 253-nucleotide ribosomal RNA is filed under the name uncultured bacterium. RNAcentral describes it as "partial 16S ribosomal RNA". It matches the Rfam family "Bacterial small subunit ribosomal RNA", at positions 524 to 776 of the family's 1533-position model. The record is from RNAcentral.